AGAGUUUGAUCAUGGCUCAGAUUGAACGCUGGCGGCAGGCCUAACACAUGCAAGUCGAACGGUAACAGGAAGAAGCUUGCUUCUUUGCUGACGAGUGGCGGACGGGUGAGUAAUGUCUGGGAAACUGCCUGAUGGAGGGGGAUAACUACUGGAAACGGUAGCUAAUACCGCAUAACUUCGCAAGACCAAAGAGGGGGACCUUCGGGCCUCUUGCCAUCGGAUGUGCCCAGAUGGGAUUAGCUAGUAGGUGGGGUAACGGCUCACCUAGGCGACGAUCCCUAGCUGGUCUGAGAGGAUGACCAGCCACACUGGAACUGAGACACGGUCCAGACUCCUACGGGAGGCAGCAGUGGGGAAUAUUGCACAAUGGGCGCAAGCCUGAUGCAGCCAUGCCGCGUGUAUGAAGAAGGCCUUCGGGUUGUAAAGUACUUUCAGCGGGGAGGAAGGGAGUAAAGUUAAUACCUUUGCUCAUUGACGUUACCCGCAGAAGAAGCACCGGCUAACUCCGUGCCAGCAGCCGCGGUAAUACGGAGGGUGCAAGCGUUAAUCGGAAUUACUGGGCGUAAAGCGCACGCAGGCGGUUUGUUAAGUCAGAUGUGAAAUCCCCGGGCUCAACCUGGGAACUGCAUCUGAUACUGGCAAGCUUGAGUCUCGUAGAGGGGGGUAGAAUUCCAGGUGUAGCGGUGAAAUGCGUAGAGAUCUGGAGGAAUACCGGUGGCGAAGGCGGCCCCCUGGACGAAGACUGACGCUCAGGUGCGAAAGCGUGGGGAGCAAACAGGAUUAGACACCCUGGUAGUCCACGCCGUAAACGAUGUCGACUUGGAGGUUGUGCCCUUGAGGCGUGGCUUCCGGAGCUAACGCGUUAAGUCGACCGCCUGGGGAGUACGGCCGCAAGGUUAAAACUCAAAUGAAUUGACGGGGGCCCGCACAAGCGGUGGAGCAUGUGGUUUAAUUCGAUGCAACGCGAAGAACCUUACCUGGUCUUGACAUCCACGGAAGUUUUCAGAGAUGAGAAUGUGCCUUCGGGAACCGUGAGACAGGUGCUGCAUGGCUGUCGUCAGCUCGUGUUGUGAAAUGUUGGGUUAAGUCCCGCAACGAGCGCAACCCUUAUCCUUUGUUGCCAGCGGUCCGGCCGGGAACUCAAAGGAGACUGCCAGUGAUAAACUGGAGGAAGGUGGGGAUGACGUCAAGUCAUCAUGGCCCUUACGACCAGGGCUACACACGUGCUACAAUGGCGCAUACAAAGAGAAGCGACCUCGCGAGAGCAAGCGGACCUCAUAAAGUGCGUCGUAGUCCGGAUUGGAGUCUGCAACUCGACUCCAUGAAGUCGGAAUCGCUAGUAAUCGUGGAUCAGAAUGCCACGGUGAAUACGUUCCCGGGCCUUGUACACACCGCCCGUCACACCAUGGGAGUGGGUUGCAAAAGAAGUAGGUAGCUUAACCUUCGGGAGGGCGCUUACCACUUUGUGAUUCAUGACUGGGGUGAAGUCGUAACAAGGUAACCGUAGGGGAACCUGCGGUUG
This 1522-nucleotide ribosomal RNA is filed under the name metagenome. Its description in RNAcentral is "bacterial SSU rRNA". It matches the Rfam family "Bacterial small subunit ribosomal RNA". The record is from RNAcentral.